RNAcentral lists this long non-coding RNA (794 nucleotides) under Prunus dulcis (almond). RNAcentral's name for it is "sRNA ncRNA". The record is from RNAcentral. Lineage: Eukaryota; Viridiplantae; Streptophyta; Magnoliopsida; Rosales; Rosaceae.
AUUUCAUGCCACUGCUAUUAGAGAAUGUUUGUUAUUUGUCUAUUCGAUCAUGUUGGAAGCUUUCGUGAUAUGCUAGUCCCAGGAAUGGUCUCCACUUUUCAAGGAAUGAGUAAUUUGAGUACUUUGGAAAUAAUGUCUGACCCAGAAUUCUUUGAACCUAAAAUUGAUGUAAGUGAAAGUGUUGCCUAUUUCUUUCCCCCUCUCUUUGAUGAUUAGUUUUUUUUUUUUUUUUUUUUUUUUUGGGUGCGGAAAUUUCAACUGAUUUGCUUGUUGAUUGUUGCCUUUCCUGCAGUGUUCUGGGUUAAAAUGGGAUAUUGGAGAUUGCAAAACAAUUAUUUUAUUAAUCAACUUAAGGAAGUAACCGUAGAGCUUUCCAUUUGGAUCGAAUGGAAUUCAGUUUGCAAAAUAUGUGCUCGAGCAUGCAUGGAAUUUGAAGAAAAUGACAUUUUUUUCAUUCACCUCAGCAGUCGAAAGCUGUAAGGAAGAUAACAAAAAGCAUGAUUGUUUCCAGUGCCAAACUUGUCGUUUUGGAGGAUAGAGAAAGAGGAAGACAAUCAUAAUCUAAACAGCUCACCAGAUGAAGGGUCGUCAAGGGUUGUCUCCCCAAACUUCCAGAGAGCUCAAUCAGAUCAACUGUCAUCCCUAUGCUGUUCGAUGUUUUGUUUGAAUAUAAGUGUAUGUGUUAUUUUCGUUUAACUCAGCUGUGGACUGAUUGACAAUCUUAGACCAUAUGUGCUUCUUUUUUUUAAGUCGAAAGUAAACUGCGUAGAGGUUCCUCCAAUAUUUUAAGAGCC